Molecule: long non-coding RNA, 321 nt
Organism: Xenia sp. Carnegie-2017
Lineage: Eukaryota; Metazoa; Cnidaria; Anthozoa; Malacalcyonacea; Xeniidae
Exons: 2
Source: RefSeq, a predicted model, not a curated record
AGGGUGUUACAGCACAAUGCACGGUUGAAACGAUAAGCUUCCGCGAGUCUUAUAAUCUUCAAAGAGUUGUUCACUUAACAUACAUGUUCAGUCAUGUACAGUGUCGAGCGUACGGACAGUGAAAGAACGCGAACUCCGGCAGUGGUACAAGAGAUGAAGAUCAAGAAGAAGAUAGAGGAGUACGUUAUUAUUUUUUCCUGUCCUAAUCUUAACUUUGUUUUAGAUUUUUCGUUUAGAUGAGGACGAGGCUGAUGAAAAGAAGAGGAUGCUGACGGAGAGACGAGGAAGAUGCUGACGGAGCUACGAGGAGGAUGCUGAUGG